CAGCAGCCACGGGAAAACGUAGGUGGCAAGCGUUGUCCGGAUUUAUUGGGCGUAAAGCGAGCGCAGGCGGUUAGAUAAGUCUGAAGUUAAAGGCUGUGGCUUAACCAUAGUACGCUUUGGAAACUGUUUAACUUGAGUGCAAGAGGGGAGAGUGGAAUUCCAUGUGUAGCGGUGAAAUGCGUAGAUAUACGGAGGAACACCGGUGGCGAAAGCGGCUCUCUGGCUUGUAACUGACGCUGAGGCUCGAAAGCGUGGGGCGCAAACAGGAUUAGAUACCCCCGUAGUCCCUGUCUCUUAUACA
Molecule: ribosomal RNA, 301 nt
Filed under: uncultured bacterium
Lineage: Bacteria
Description: partial 16S ribosomal RNA
Rfam family: Bacterial small subunit ribosomal RNA
Source: RNAcentral